CCUACGGGUGGCAGCAGUGAGGAAUAUUGGUCAAUGGACGAGAGUCUGAACCAGCCAAGUAGCGUGAAGGAUGACUGCCCUAUGGGUUGUAAACUUCUUUUAUAUGGGAAUAAAACGUUCCACGUGUGGGAUUUUGUAUGUACCAUAUGAAUAAGGAUCGGCUAACUCCGUGCCAGCAGCCGCGUUAAUACGGAGGAUCCGAGCGUUAUCCGGCUUUAUUGGGUUUAAAGGGAGCGUAGGUGGAUUGUUAAGUCAGUUGUGAAAGUUUGCGGCUCAACCGUAAAAUUGCAGGUGAAACUGGCAGUCUUGAGUACAGUAGAGGUGGGCGGAAUUCGUGGUGUAGCGGUGAAAUGCUUAGAUAUCACGAAGAACUCCGAUUGCGAAGGCAGUUCACUGGACUGCAACUGACACUGAGGCUCGAAAGUGUGGGUAUCAAACAGGAUUAGAUACCCCGGUAGUC
RNAcentral lists this ribosomal RNA (460 nucleotides) under uncultured bacterium. RNAcentral describes it as "partial 16S ribosomal RNA". It matches the Rfam family "Bacterial small subunit ribosomal RNA", at positions 338 to 795 of the family's 1533-position model. The record is from RNAcentral.